GAUCCUGGCUUAGGAUGAACGCUAGCUACAGGCUUAACACAUGCAAGUCGAGGGGCAGCAUGAUCUGUGCUUGCACAGAUUGAUGGCGACCGGCGCACGGGUGAGUAACGCGUAUCCAACCUUCCCCUUAGCAGGGCAUAGCCCGGCGAAAGUCGGAUUAAUACCCUAUGUUUUCCAAUGAGGACAUCUGAGCUGGAAUAAAGAUUCAUCGCUAAGGGAUGGGGAUGCGUCCGAUUAGGUUGUUGGCGGGGUAACGGCCCACCAAGCCUUCGAUCGGUAGGGGUUCUGAGAGGAAGGUCCCCCACACUGGUACUGAGACACGGACCAGACUCCUACGGGAGGCAGCAGUGAGGAAUAUUGGUCAAUGGGCGAGAGCCUGAACCAGCCAAGUAGCCGUGCAGGAUGACGGCCCUAUGGGUUGUAAACUGUCUUUUAUACGGGGAUAAAGUGAGGGACGUGUCCCUUAUUGUAGGUACCGUAUGAAUAAGGACCGGCUAAUUCCGUGCCAGCAGCUGC
RNAcentral lists this ribosomal RNA (516 nucleotides) under uncultured bacterium. RNAcentral describes it as "bacterial SSU rRNA". It matches the Rfam family "Bacterial small subunit ribosomal RNA", at positions 15 to 518 of the family's 1533-position model. The record is from RNAcentral.